AUUUAAUUUGUUACAAUUUAGUUUAGUACAGAUUAGUUUAAUCGGUUACAAAUCAAUUACAAAUUUAACAAAGACUUAAUGUAUCAGAGCAAAGUCAAAACCUAUCUUUUUUCCGCUGCUUUUUUUUUUUUUUUUCGCUGCUUGGUGCCAGCUCCUCUUGGGCACACUCUGCGCUUAUGUGAAAGGUUGUUCUGCAUCGUGAAGCUCUUGCUAUCUCUGUGCAAAUCAAACGCAUCCAGUUUGCUUCUGAAGAUGGAAAAUUAUUGCCAUGCGAUCUGUUAUUGUUGCUGCUUUUCACUACCAGGCUGCUGUUGCGUUUCUCUACUACGUUGCCGCUGCCAUUGGUUUCUCUUCACCACGCCACUGCGCCGCCGUGCCACCUUGCCACUGCAGCAUUCACAUCCUUCGGCACGACAUCGCCGCGAUACAUCAAACAACACGCCAUGUACUUGCCGUGGCGAGGGUCACACUUGGCCAUUAUGGAGGAUGGCUCAAAGGCACUGUUGGUGAUCUCAGCAACGGAAAGCUGCUCAUGGUAUGCUUUCUCAGCAGAGAUAACAGGGGCGUUCAAUGUCAAGUGAUCUCCACCAAAUGAAGUUUGUCUUUGAUGCUUGCUUUGGACUUUUGGAAGAAGAUUGAAAAAGUCAAAGUUGAUGGAAGAUUUCUAGAAGUUUCUGUUUUUUGGCCGAUGUAUUUCCGGCAUGUUUAGUUAUAUUCCAAGUUUUCAAUUUUUUUUUCAUUUCCUUUGAUGUUGAUGUAUUGUCUUCUCUAAGCUAGAAGUGUUUUCAACACCUUUCAGCUUGCGGGUAUUAGAGAUAAAAAUUAGUUUAGUUAGUUACAAAUUAGUUAUUAAUUUAGUUUGUUACAAUUUAGUUUAGUUAAUUACAAAUUAGUUUAGUUGGUUACAAAUUAGUUACAAGUUUAACUAUAUAAGACUCAAUGUACUCACGUAAGAAUUAAUUUGCUCAUUUGAGCAUUACACAAAUUAAUAUCAAGUUUCUCUUUUCUCUCGUUUCUAUCUC
Glycine soja is the source of this 1022-nucleotide long non-coding RNA. RefSeq lists it as uncharacterized. The transcript has 2 exons. The record is from RefSeq and is a predicted model, not a curated record. Lineage: Eukaryota; Viridiplantae; Streptophyta; Magnoliopsida; Fabales; Fabaceae.